Mesocricetus auratus (golden hamster) is the source of this 2261-nucleotide long non-coding RNA. RefSeq lists it as uncharacterized. NCBI's taxonomy places the organism in Eukaryota, Metazoa, Chordata, Mammalia, Rodentia, Cricetidae. The transcript is spliced from 2 exons. The record is from RefSeq and is a predicted model, not a curated record.
UACAAAUAAGUAGGACUAGCUUUGUAAUUCAUUCUCUCUCUCUCUCUCUCCCUCCCUCCCUCCCUCCUUCCCUCCUUCCCUCCCCCCUUCUCUCCAUUGCAAUUUCAUUGAGAAACAAUGGCAAAAAUGUACUGAGCCAAUCUUAAGCAUGUUUCUAGUGAGUGUCCUGAAGCAGGCAUCUUCUGAAAUCUCCAAAGAGAUUAGGAUUUUCAAAUAGUCUUACCAGCUUUUAAGACUGCAGACAUUCAACACACAGACUGGCUUUGGGGCACUGUUGUGAAUUUAACUGAUUUGAAGGAGGCUCAUCAACUGCAGACUGAAAGCUGCUGUUUCCAGAGCAGUGAUUGAAUUUCCAGCAAUGAUUUCUACCCGUUACCUACCAUGCGCUGCUUAUUAAAUACGAAACCCAUUGCCCUGAAGAAUCUGCUCACAAUCUCUGCAACAGUGGCAUCUGCAGAGGGGUGCUCCAGCCACUUGAAACUCAUUAAAACAUACUUGAGAUUGACAGUGAGUAGAGAACAUCUGUCAGACUUGGCCAAGAUUUCAAUCAAGUGUGAUGUUGCUGUGUUACAUUGACUUAAUAAAUGAGCUGGCUGCUGUCAGUGUAAGGAAAGUUUGGUUGUAAUUACUAUCCUGUUCUUUUCCCUUUUUUUCUGCAGAGUUCUUUCACAUAAAUAGCCAUAUUCUACGUGAAAUGUAUAAGAAGCCUACAGUUUAUACCGAUAACCCCAUACUUGAGUGGUUAAUUAAGAUUGCUGUGGGUUCCAGGCCAACUUGAACUACAAAAUGAGUUCCAGGACAGCCUGGGCUGCCACAUGAGACUGUGUCCCAUAUACACAAUCAAAAUUAAUGAGCAUAAAGUUCAUUUUUUAGAUGGCUAAAUUUUUACCAAGUGUGUGUUUCUUUAAGAAGUUACAUGGAUAUAUCCUGGAGCAGCAGGAAAAGUCUUACUGAUCUGUACUCUCUGGAGUAUCUUGAAGUAUACAUCCAGAAGAAAGGAAUUUCCACCUCAGUCUAUUGAAUAAAUGCCAAUAAAAGCAAGUCCGAAUGAAAUGCAAAACUGUUUCCCAAUAUCUAGAUGCCGUUGAUCAUCGUUCAGUGAUGCUUGCUCAUAACUCAUGCCACAGCAAUCUAUUCUGCCAGGGACUGAAGAGACUCAAAGGACACUAGCCUGUCCUAAUGAUAUGAUUUCAGAGCCAGUGAGUGGAAAACCAGACACAGAGUUCAGAUCAUUUCCACCAGAUUGUGUUUGCUCCAUCGGCCUUUUAGAAAUGUUUGUUUGAGGAAUCAGCUUAAAUACAAGACAUUGGCUCUGACCACCAAUAUUUCAUGAGGAUGAAAAAGAGCUACUGUUGUUCAAAGUUGGGAGAAGGAAAACUCCAGUCUCAUAUACAAGGGUAGUCUGUGCUCUAAGAGGUACUCGGUAAUUUUGGAUGAAUAUAUGGAUACACAGCAUCUGUUACUCAUUUGCCUGAAGGUCCAGAGAACUGGGGAAAUAUUUUAUCAAGAUCAAAGUUAACCUGAAGAUGACAGCUAAGUAAAUUCUCAAGUCAACUGAACAAGAAUAGGCUUUGCAGGUCCAAUGUGGACAACUGACAGUCUUACUGUCUGAAACUUUACUCACUCAAAAGGAAUUCCUUCCAUUUCCAGAAAGAAAUACCCUGUUAAUUAGAGUAAGUGUUUGAAGAAUGAUAAGAUCUAGGAUAUUUCUCAAAAGAACUUCAUUUCAAGGUAACAAAGAACUGGAAAUUGCUAAUUACCAUCUUCAAAGAACACUGACUGUGGGCAUAGGAUGUGGACACAAAUACAGUAUCUCUGAUCAUGUGAUGACUUCAUGGCUUAUUAUUCACUCCACUACCUAAGGCAAAUCUUCUCCCUAGUUUACCAAGAUCAAGAACAAUCACAUGUUGAUAGUUCAAUGAUAAUUAGAGAGAAGGUGUGUGUUCAUGUAUGACUGAAUGGACACUCCUAAUCUUCUAGAAAUAGGAAUUCCAAAACCAUUGUCUUCUCCUUAAGCCUUUGAAAGUCUCACAUUUGGAGCAGUGGUUUUAUUUUCCUUUUUAUAGUAACAAAGUGAGACAAGGAAAUCACAAAGCACAUGAACAAUGACAAUGUGUCCUUCGGGCCCGAAUACACAGUUACUAUAAGUUAGACUGAUGUUCAGUUGGGGCAUUAUGUUCUCUCAGAAACAGAGGUCUACAGAACGUCAGAAAGGAUCACUGAGAUCAUGACAACUGAAUAAAUACAAGUUUACUGAGCAA